GAUGAACGCUGGCGGCGUGCCUAAUACAUGCAAGUCGAGCGAACGGACGAGAAGCUUGCUUUUCUGAUGUUAGCAGCGGACGGGUGAGUAACACGUGGAUAACCUACCUAUAAGACUGGGAUAACUUCGGGAAACCGGAGCUAAUACCGGAUAAUAUUUUGAACCGCAUGGUUCAAAAGUGAAAGACGGUCUUGCUGUCACUUAUAGAUGGAUCCGCGCUGCAUUAGCUAGUUGGUAAGGUAACGGCUUACCAAGGCAACGAUGCAUAGCCGACCUGAGAGGGUGAUCGGCCACACUGGAACUGAGACACGGUCCAGACUCCUACGAGAGGCAGCAGUAGGGAAUCUUCCGCAAUGGGCGAAAGCCUGACGGAGCAACGCCGCGUGAGUGAUGAAGGUCUUCGGAUCGUAAAACUCUGUUAUUAGGGAAGAACAUAUGUGUAAGUAACUGUGCACAUCUUGACGGUACCUAAUCAGAAAGCCCCGGCUAACUACGUG
This 497-nucleotide ribosomal RNA is filed under the name uncultured bacterium. Its description in RNAcentral is "partial 16S ribosomal RNA". It matches the Rfam family "Bacterial small subunit ribosomal RNA", at positions 28 to 507 of the family's 1533-position model. The record is from RNAcentral.